RNAcentral lists this ribosomal RNA (555 nucleotides) under Alternaria alternata. RNAcentral's name for it is "eukaryotic LSU rRNA". The stretch from base 201 to 354 matches the Rfam family "5.8S ribosomal RNA". Lineage: Eukaryota; Fungi; Ascomycota; Dothideomycetes; Pleosporales; Pleosporaceae. The record is from RNAcentral.
GUAGGAUCUCGUAGGUGACCUGCGGAGGGACAUUACACAAAUAUGAAGGCGGGCUGGAACCUCUCGGGGUUACAGCCUUGCUGAAUUAUUCACCCUUGUCUUUUGCGUACUUCUUGUUUCCUUGGUGGGUUCGCCCACCACUAGGACAAACAUAAACCUUUUGUAAUUGCAAUCAGCGUCAGUAACAAAUUAAUAAUUACAACUUUCAACAACGGAUCUCUUGGUUCUGGCAUCGAUGAAGAACGCAGCGAAAUGCGAUAAGUAGUGUGAAUUGCAGAAUUCAGUGAAUCAUCGAAUCUUUGAACGCACAUUGCGCCCUUUGGUAUUCCAAAGGGCAUGCCUGUUCGAGCGUCAUUUGUACCCUCAAGCUUUGCUUGGUGUUGGGCGUCUUGUCUCUAGCUUUGCUGGAGACUCGCCUUAAAGUAAUUGGCAGCCGGCCUACUGGUUUCGGAGCGCAGCACAAGUCGCACUCUCUAUCAGCAAAGGUCUAGCAUCCAUUAAGCCUUUUUUUCAACUUUUGACCUCGGAUCAGGUAGGGAUACCCGCUGAACUUAA